CUUAUCCUUACUAUUUGGAAGAAUAAGAGAAGCACCGGAUUUUCUUGGAUCCUUUGAUGGGUCAAUCAUUGAUAAUAGCAAUAUAUUCUCAGGCUUAAGAUCAGUGUGUAUAAUAGAAAGUUGUCUGUGCAAAUAAUCCAAACCCACUAAAAUGUGGAAACAGAUCUCUUUAACCUUAUGAAUUGGCAUUCCGUGAUAAUCAGAAUACUUGAUAAGGGUCAAAAGGUUAUCCCCUAAGUACUCAAAAACCAUACAAACAUGCUGUCCAUUUGGACCUGAAUGCUUAAAAUGAUCCAAAAGCUUUACCACACAUUUUUUAUCAUCAGGGUCUCCCUCUGCAAUCUGUUGCAAGAUGGUUAUCUCAUCCAUGGCAGCUUCGGUAUAAUGUUGAGCACUUUUUUGUACCUUUAAAGCUACAUAUCGAGAUUUUUGCGUGUCCCAAGCGAGCCAGA
This 452-nucleotide unclassified non-coding RNA is filed under the name Hevea brasiliensis (rubber tree). Lineage: Eukaryota; Viridiplantae; Streptophyta; Magnoliopsida; Malpighiales; Euphorbiaceae. The record is from RNAcentral.